Molecule: unclassified non-coding RNA, 491 nt
Filed under: Hevea brasiliensis (rubber tree)
Lineage: Eukaryota; Viridiplantae; Streptophyta; Magnoliopsida; Malpighiales; Euphorbiaceae
Source: RNAcentral
AGAUAAUUAGACUUAUUUGGAAAACCUCCAAGUUUGAAAAGGCAGGUACAGUUCUUUCCAUAAGCCAAAUAAAGCGGCUUUAUAUUUGAUUUUAUUGUAAAAGGAGGUAUUAAAGCUUAUUAACCUCUAAACUUUUCAUUCAAGUUUCCUCGGACAUUUCAAUGUUGAUGAUGUUGGAUGUGAAUUUUGCUGAAUAAAUAUCUCUUUGGUAGAGAAUUAUAAUGUGGCAUUUGAAAUAUUUCCAAGUCAAGUAGCUAUUACCCUUGGCCAUACUGAGAAGCUCCUAAAGACUAAUUCUUGAAAAGUACCUUUAGAUUUCAUGCAUGUGCUUACCAGAUUUCAUGGCUAAUACUAAAGAAAUAUGUUGGUUUGAGAAGAUAUGGUGCAAACAAUGACAUGCAUGUGACUCAGGAUUAAGUCUAGUUCAACUUGGUUGUGCUUGUAAGUACUUCAGCAUGUACAAGGCUUGUUGAUGUAGAAUAUACUCAACU